Molecule: transfer RNA, 71 nt
Filed under: Cordylochernes scorpioides
Lineage: Eukaryota; Metazoa; Arthropoda; Arachnida; Pseudoscorpiones; Chernetidae
Description: tRNA-Gly
Source: RNAcentral
UGCAUCGGCUGGGAAUCGAACCCGGGCCACCCGCGUGGCAGGCGAGCAUUCUACCGCUGAACCACCGAUGC